CCGUGCUAAGCGGGGAGGUAGCGGUGCCCUGUACUCGCAAUCCGCUCUAGCGAGGCCGAAUCCCUUUCCGAGGUUAGUUGACUGCAGGGUCUGCCCUCAAGUAAGUGGUGUUGACGUCUGGGUCCUGCGCAAUGGAAAUCCAUGAACCAUGUCAGGUCCGGAAGGAAGCAGCAUUAAGUGGAAGCUUUCAUGUGCCGCGGGACAGCCUGGGCCGAGCUAACUGCUUGAGUAACGCUUGUGGCCGCUAAUCGACGAAAGGUGCACGG
This is a non-coding RNA of Bacillus sp. SJS, 266 nucleotides long. It matches the Rfam family "Bacterial large signal recognition particle RNA". Rfam says of the family: The signal recognition particle (SRP) is a universally conserved ribonucleoprotein involved in the co-translational targeting of proteins to membranes. The record is from Rfam. Lineage: Bacteria; Bacillati; Bacillota; Bacilli; Caryophanales; Bacillaceae.